AAAUUGAAGAGUUUGAUCAUGGCUCAGAUUGAACGCUGGCGGCAGGCCUAACACAUGCAAGUCGAACGGUAACAGGAAGCAGCUUGCUGCUUUGCUGACGAGUGGCGGACGGGUGAGUAAUGUCUGGGAAACUGCCUGAUGGAGGGGGAUAACUACUGGAAACGGUGGCUAAUACCGCAUAACGUCGCAAGACCAAAGAGGGGGACCUUCGGGCCUCUUGCCAUCAGAUGUGCCCAGAUGGGAUUAGC
This 248-nucleotide ribosomal RNA is filed under the name Salmonella enterica subsp. enterica serovar Infantis. RNAcentral's name for it is "partial 16S ribosomal RNA". It matches the Rfam family "Bacterial small subunit ribosomal RNA", at positions 1 to 245 of the family's 1533-position model. Lineage: Bacteria; Pseudomonadati; Pseudomonadota; Gammaproteobacteria; Enterobacterales; Enterobacteriaceae. The record is from RNAcentral. RNAcentral also lists the same sequence under 17 other names.